UACGUAGGGGGCAAGCGUUGUCCGGAUUUAUUGGGCGUAAAGAGCGUGUAGGCGGCUUGGUAGGUCUCGCGUCAAAACCUGAGGCUCAACCUCAGUUCGCGUGGGAAACCACCUAGCUAGAGUCCGGAAGAGGAGAACGGAAUUCCCAGUGUAGCGGUGAAAUGCGCAGAUAUUGGGAGGAACACCAGUGGCGAAGGCGGCUCACUGGACUGGUACUGACGCUGAGGCGCGAAAGCGUGGGGAGCAAACGGG
RNAcentral lists this ribosomal RNA (252 nucleotides) under uncultured bacterium. RNAcentral's name for it is "partial 16S ribosomal RNA". It matches the Rfam family "Bacterial small subunit ribosomal RNA", at positions 524 to 776 of the family's 1533-position model. The record is from RNAcentral.